ACUCCUACGGGAGGCAGCAGUGGGGAAUAUUGCACAAUGGGCGAAAGCCUGAUGCAGCAACGCCGCGUGAGUGAUGAAGGUUUUCGGAUCGUAAAACUCUGUUCUAAGGGAAGAUAAUGACGGUACCUUAGGAGAAAGCCCCGGCUAACUACGUGCCAGCAGCCGCGGUAAUACGUAGGGGGCAAGCGUUAUCCGGAAUUACUGGGCGUAAAGGGUGCGUAGGUGGCCUGACAAGUCAGGGGUCAAAGGCAACGGCUCAACCGUUGUAAGCCCUUGAAACUGUCGGGCUUGAGUUCAGGAGAGGAAAGCGGAAUUCCAAGUGUAGCGGUGAAAUGCGUAGAUAUUUGGAGGAACACCAGUGGCGAAGGCGGCUUUCUGGACUGAUACUGACACUGAGGCACGAAAGCGUGGGGAGCAAACAGGAUUAGAUACCCUGGUAGUC
RNAcentral lists this ribosomal RNA (442 nucleotides) under uncultured bacterium. Its description in RNAcentral is "bacterial SSU rRNA". It matches the Rfam family "Bacterial small subunit ribosomal RNA", at positions 335 to 795 of the family's 1533-position model. The record is from RNAcentral.